This 484-nucleotide ribosomal RNA is filed under the name uncultured Bacillota bacterium. RNAcentral's name for it is "bacterial SSU rRNA". It matches the Rfam family "Bacterial small subunit ribosomal RNA", at positions 347 to 823 of the family's 1533-position model. The record is from RNAcentral. Lineage: Bacteria; Bacillati; Bacillota.
GGCAGCAGUAGGGAAUCUUCCGCAAUGGACGAAAGUCUGACGGAGCAACGCCGCGUGAGUGAAGAAGGUUUUCGGAUCGUAAAACUCUGUUGUCAGAGAAGAACAAGUUGGAGAGUAACUGCUCCAGCCUUGACGGUAUCUGACCAGAAAGCCACGGCUAACUACGUGCCAGCAGCCGCGGUAAUACGUAGGUGGCAAGCGUUGUCCGGAUUUAUUGGGCGUAAAGCGAGCGCAGGCGGUUCCUUAAGUCUGAUGUGAAAGCCCACGGCUCAACCGUGGAAGGUCAUUGGAAACUGGGGAACUUGAGUGCAGAAGAGGAAAGUGGAAUUCCAUGUGUAGCGGUGAAAUGCGUCGAUAUAUGGAGGAACACCAGUGGCGAAGGCGACUUUCUGGUCUGUAACUGACGCUGAGGCUCGAAAGCGUGGGGAGCAAACAGGAUUAGAUACCCUGGUAGUCCACGCCGUAAACGAUGAGUGCUAAGUGU